GAUGAACGCUGGCGGCGUGCCUAAUACAUGCAAGUCGAGCGAACGGACGAGAAGCUUGCUUCUCUGAUGUUAGCGGCGGACGGGUGAGUAACACGUGGAUAACCUACCUAUAAGACUGGGAUAACUUCGGGAAACCGGAGCUAAUACCGGAUGAUAUUUUGAACCGCAUGGUUCAAAAGUGAAAGACGGUCUUGCUGUCACUUAUAGAUGGAUCCGCGCUGCAUUAGCUAGUUGGUAAGGUAACGGCUUACCAAGGCAACGAUGCAUAGCCGACCUGAGAGGGUGAUCGGCCACACUGGAACUGAGACACGGUCCACACUCCUACGGGAGGCAGCAGUAGGGAAUCUUCCGCAAUGGGCGAAAGCCUGACGGAGCAACGCCGCGUGAGUCAUGAAGGUCUUCGGAUCGUAAAACUCUGUUAUUAGGGAAGAACAUAUGUGUAAGUAACUGUGCACAUCUUGACGGUACCUAAUCAGAAAGCCACAGCUAACUACGUG
Molecule: ribosomal RNA, 497 nt
Filed under: uncultured bacterium
Lineage: Bacteria
Description: partial 16S ribosomal RNA
Rfam family: Bacterial small subunit ribosomal RNA
Source: RNAcentral